GAAAGGGAUUGCAUCUGUUCUUAUCGGUGCCUCUCAGCAGGGCCAGAUUUUGAGCUCAGUUACCCUAGUGUAAAUCUGGAGUACCCCAUUGAUUUCAAUCUGGCCAUUCUGUUUGUACACCAGCUGCUGGCAGCCCUGGAGAACAGGCUGGACCUUCUUUUGGAGACAAUCAGUGCCUCACUUGAAGUGGCCACUGGCAAAAUUCUCAAGGUGUCCCUUACAUAGGGAGCUCCCUUGUUCUAGUUUCCUUUUGGUUUUCAAUUAUUUGCAAUGGGAAUGCAGAAUUGUGAAUAGACUAUUUUAUUUAUUGCAAUGGAGAACAACAUACUGUGUCAUGCCCAUCUGCUACUCUGGGAGCCUUUGAUAUUAUUUAAAAAAAAAUACAACCCACCAAUAAACUCCCAGGAAGAGCUCCAGCAAAAUUCCACUCCCAACACAAUGCAAUGGGGAAGGCCUCUGUCCCCAUAAAUACUCUCCCAUGUCAAGCGCCAACUGGUCCAGCAGCCCAGACAAGAAGAUGCAUCUGGUAGGGUGCUCUAAAGGACAACAAUCCCGGGCUAUUGCAGCCCAAGGACAGCAGUUUCUUUUACACCUGAGGGUUCCUUGCAGGGAUAAUGAUUUAUAAUGAAGUUGCUAAUGCACAUAAUCCAGCACAUGGUCUUUUGUCCCCAGUCUCCAUUUGAUUUUUGAUGAGUUCAGAGGUAUGGACAAAAAUAUCACUGUUGACUCAUGCUAGCCAGUCCUUCCUUCUUGAAUCUGAAAGCUCUGAUCCGCCCAUGGAGCAGCAGAAUGAGAUUAGGAAAUGGCUCCUGAGCUCCCACAUGACUGUGGGAAAUACUAAGACUUGAGGUUCAAAAAAACCCCCAACACUGUGCUCAGUACACCUGCUAUCCCAGGCAUGGGGUUUUCCUGACAAUCAGGCCAUAUCAUGUAGUACUACUCAGAGUUCUGUGAUGUGGCAAAUAUGGCAGGACUACGAUGAGACCAACAAGCUCAGUUUCAUGCAAGUAUUAUUUUAACACAUGCUUUGAACUCAGAUCUCUUUGAGACACAAGGCAAGUGCUUUAUACAAACUUUAGCCCAGUAGCUAUGGUCUCUCUGACUAUUCCUGGACUGAUAAAUACACACCCUGUGAUGUGUUGUUACUUAGCUAUCAGUCACUGUUAUAUGUUACUGCUUCAAUAAUUACUGGUUUGUACGCACUUCACAUGAAUUUGAAUUGAUACAAGUGCAACACUCUCAGCAGGGUGAAGCAGUGCAUCAUUGCCCUUCUCCAUGAACAGAAUGGAUUCUUAUGCAUUACUGCUUCAGAUGUGACCUGCUCACAGUAGCAGCCACAUGCCCGUUCAGCAAGGGACCUGCUGAUGACCACAGUUGGAUGGAUGUCCAGUACUGAAUUCCACUAUACACGCCCCACCACACAGACUCUCCAAGGAGCUGCAAUUAGCAAAUGUAAAAAAUAUCAAUGAAGGCCCGAAGACUAAAAUGCAUUGAUUGUAUGGAUACCUCUUUUCUGACAGAGACUGGAAUAAUGGAAAGCUUCGUUCCUUUUCGAUGACAUCACUGGCUUCUGUGGCAGGCAACUAGCAGAGAUUUUUUUCCUACUAAUCAGGUACAUUCAAAAGGCCUUGACAGAGCAGAUAUGAAGAGUUAAUAUUUGGCUUGACAGUGCCCACCAUUGUUUUAUGAAAAACUGUCACACUUCAGUAGCAAGUUCAAGCAAUCGGUAAAGAACAUUCUUGAGAAAGUGCCACCGGUGGCUUUGGCAAUAUUAGCACCAUUGUUAGAAAAAUGAAACCCACUAAAAUCAUGUUUGGUCCUUAUGAGCACAGCCACUCAAAUAUCUGCUCUUAAGGGCUCUCCAGCCAGUUGUCAACAGUGCAGCUCUUGACAAGUUUCCAUACAAAGGCACAACCAUAGGCAUCACAUUGUCUUCUUUGUGCUACUUCCCUAAGCAGUGAGAUGUUUUGCCUUUUGGAAAGGUAGUGACCUUUCCAGGAAACAAAAGAACAAGAAAUAUGAUUAUUUCUGUUUGGCGCUCCAAAGUAAUGAUCACGUGGUUAAUACAGACACAAUCCCCAGUAACUCUUGAGAUGGGCAUCUACGAUGCAGAAAGUACAACAAAAACAGAAAGAAAAAAAUUAGGUAUUGCCCCCAGAAGAAGUCUAGUUCUAGUGCACAACAAACACAGACACCCAACCCCAUCAUUCAGAUUUCCCAGUGCCUGUGCAAGAUGAGCCUCUUGGUGAAGAGCAGCUGAUUGGGACCCAAAUCUAGGUGAACUAGAUUUCUAGAGGAAAUGCUGGUGGAAAGACAAAAGAUGGUCUUGUGGUUAAAUCAGUGGAUUGAGCCUAAAUCAAGGCAAAGCAAAGGGGAAGCUAAAUCCAGAUACCUCACCGUCUCUGGCAAGACAUAAUUGCACCAACUCUGCACCUGCCAAAGUGAGUCCAUAUGGGUCCUCCCUGAUAUUUUUACAGCCUACACAAUUCAGCUUCCUGAUCAAAGACAGCCUUUUGUGGUAAUACUCUUGGCUUUUUAUGACUAAUGAACUGGAGGGACUUCUUCUGGUAGAAUAGCACAGUUGGAAUUUGGUUUUCAUUGCAAUAAUGCUCUUUCUAUAAUCCCUUGCUAAGGAAUAAUCUUUAGCUUUACAUCAAUUGACUCUCAAAAGAAUAAGAGUUUGUUACUGUGAAAACAGCAAACUGAGUAUGUCCCCAAAUGAGUAAAGUUUCCUUUGCCUGAAUUGAAUUCAGUGAAUGUUUUCUUAAGUGUGGAUGUUGAUGGGUUCCUUUAGAUGUGGUAGCCCCGUGAAAUCUUGUGCAUGUUUAGAACAUUUACAUGUGGUGAUUUUUCCCAGUCGAUCAGCUACUCCAUUGUGAUUGUCACUUUGCAAUAGAAAUAAACAGGCUGGCCUAUUUCGAGAGCACCAAGUCAGAAUUACAAGUUGAAAAAACAUUUUAAUGUUAAUGGGCGGGAUUCACAAAGAUGCUUAAGUGUGUAACUCCCACUGAUUUUGGAGUAAGGUGCCUAAGUACCUUUGUGAAUCCCACUCAACAUGUUUAUAAGGACCAUUGCCUAUUCCAUAAUUAGAGAGAAGGUUAUUUAGCUCACGAUGCCUGUCAGCGAGAAUUACAGCAACAGUAGCCUGAGAGCAGCAUCUCAGAUGGAAGGCAAGUCUUGUGGGUCAGCCAAGAGGACUUAGGCCUUGUCAGCACUGACCUUAAGCUGCAAGAAUGGGUGAUAAAAAUGGCCUAUCCUCCAGGACAUUGUUAUCUGCAAGUACUGGCAGCUCCAGAUUCAUCUGGGACUGGCCCUGUUCCAUAUAACUGUACAACACCUCUACUGCCCUACACUGAAGGUUUUCUCUGACCAGAUUUAGGUAUUGCACAUGCUUCAUGUACAACAGGUUAAGUUGUCUUUCGCAUUAGAGUGGCUACACUUCAUUAAAAUGAAUCUAUUGUUUCCAUGGCAGAACAAAAUGUCCAAGUACGUGGCUAGUUAUGGGAAGAGAGAAGAUAAUAUGGUCGGACAAUUUGAGUACUAGCAUCCACUCCAUCAUGAAGAAUUCAGAGUGAAGAACUGCUGGGUGAGGAAAGUGGUCAAUUGAAGUAUGUGACUACAAGAACCAGGCAGAGGAAAAGACCAGCUAAUGAAGAAGAAAUAUAGUUCAGGAACAGGUUUGCUGAGUGGCACAGAAGGCGCCAGUAACUGAAGGUGGGAGGACAAGGAAGAAGAGAAGAGCAGCUACUCCUGUAAGAAGAGGGGGAAAGUCAAUGGAGAAAGCCAGAGUUCAAAGCUCCAGGAGGCUACAGGAUGACUCACAGAAGAUUACAACGGAGAAUAAAAGACAAGAGGACUUGCGGCCAGAAAGAACAGGAGGAAGGUUGGAGAAUAACAAAUCCCCAGGAAGAGGCAGGUCUACAUGAUUGAUGACUCCCUACUAAGAAGAAUGGAGAAGCCUAUUACCAGAGCUGAUCUAAGGAACAGAAGGUUGUGCCAUCUGCCAGGAGCUAAGAUAUGGGAUGUGGACCUGAGGCUGAAGAGAAUCCUAAUGGGAGCAGGACAGAAUCCACUGAUUGUCCUUCACAUGGGAACAAAUGAUACAGCUAGAGACUCGCUGGAAUGUAUCAAGGGACACUAUGCCAAGGGACACUGGGGAAGAAGCUUAAGGAAAUGGAGGCUCAGGUGACCUUCAGUGGGAUUCUACCUGUCUCUAGAGGAAGAGAACAAAGGCAAGACAAGAUUAUGAUGACCAACAGAUAGCUCAGGCUGUGGUGCUAUAAGGAAGGCUUUGGGAUGUUUGGCCACUGGGAGGCAUUCAUUGUCAGAGGACUGUUAUCAUGGGAUGAUCUCCACCUGAGUAGGGAGGGAAGUAGAUUUCUGGGAUGGAAGUUGGCGCAACUGAUUAAAAGAGCUUUAAACUAGGAACUUGGGGGAAAUGGUUGGGAGAUGCUCAUGUCAUAUCCUUGCCUGAUUCUAAUGUUGGGCAGAAGGAAAAUCAAGUAAGAAAGGACACAGCAAUGGAGAAUGGAACAGCAAGGGGUAGGAGAAUGGACAUUAAAAGGAAAAAUAGUGCUGAUACCAA
Dermochelys coriacea (leatherback sea turtle) is the source of this 4585-nucleotide long non-coding RNA. RefSeq lists it as uncharacterized. The transcript has 4 exons. NCBI's taxonomy places the organism in Eukaryota, Metazoa, Chordata, Testudines, Dermochelyidae. The record is from RefSeq and is a predicted model, not a curated record.